UAGGGAAUCUUCCGCAAUGGGCGAAAGCCUGACGGAGCAACGCCGCGUGAGUGAUGAAGGUCUUCGGAUCGUAAAACUCUGUUAUUAGGGAAGAACAAAUGUGUAAGUAACUAUGCACGUCUUGACGGUACCUAAUCAGAAAGCCACGGCUAACUACGUGCCAGCAGCCGCGGUAAUACGUAGGUGGCAAGCGUUAUCCGGAAUUAUUGGGCGUAAAGCGCGCGUAGGCGGUUUUUUAAGUCUGAUGUGAAAGCCCACGGCUCAACCGUGGAGAGUCAUUGGAAACUGGAAAACUUGAGUGCAGAAGAGGAAAGUGGAAUUCCAUGUGUAGCGGUGAAAUGCGCAGAGAUAUGGGGGAACACCAGUGGCGAAGUCGACUUUCUGGUCUGUAACUGACGCUGAUGUGCGAAAGCGUGGGGAUCAAACAGG
This 429-nucleotide ribosomal RNA is filed under the name Actinomycetes bacterium. Its description in RNAcentral is "Actinobacteria bacterium partial 16S ribosomal RNA". It matches the Rfam family "Bacterial small subunit ribosomal RNA", at positions 355 to 776 of the family's 1533-position model. The record is from RNAcentral. Lineage: Bacteria; Bacillati; Actinomycetota; Actinomycetes.